Molecule: long non-coding RNA, 1812 nt
Organism: Hypanus sabinus (Atlantic stingray)
Lineage: Eukaryota; Metazoa; Chordata; Chondrichthyes; Myliobatiformes; Dasyatidae
Exons: 2
Source: RefSeq, a predicted model, not a curated record
CUCGCAGUCGAUCAAUUGAUAGAACAACGGUGGAAUACCAAGGAGCAAAUGUAUCAACAUCUAUGGAGACACGAGAGCGGGUUAUUAUUGAAGGGGAAUGCCUGUCCUAGCAUGCAAAGUCAGCUCCAGUAGGCUGAGUGAAUGAGAUCUUACAGAGAGAUGCAAUGACCAGGAAGGUGGUACUGUAGCACUUCAUGGAGAACGAAAGGCAUGGUGAGGCACAAGAAAUCAUUGUCAACCACAACAACCAAGACUAAACUUGUCCAUUAUCACUGGACCCAGUCAUUGUACACAAAGUGAACAGUCCUGCCGCUGUCACCACACUGGUCUAAAAACAAAACAGAAAAACUUUAUUUUUAUACAGAAUAUUCCAUCUGGUAACUGUAUGUUUGAAUUCCUUACUUGCAAGAUCAAUGGACAAGUUAGGCUGAGGAGCCUGUUUCCAUACUAUUCAACUCUAUGACUCAGGUUACUUAUUUACAAAAGGAGCACAUAUCAACGGACAAGACACCUCUGGUUGUUUGGAGCCAGAGGCCAAUCCAGCAUAGAUACAAGAAUAUCUACCUAAUGAGUCCAUGCCCACUUAGUUCCAAACUUCUGCAUUCAGCUCAUAUCCCUCUGAGCCUUGCCCCUCCAUGUACCUACCAAGUGUUUCAUAAAUUAUAGUAUUGUACCUGUUUCAAUCACUUCCUCUGGAGGCUCAUUCCAUAUACUCAUCACCCUUUGUGUGAAUCGGAGGCAGCAUCUCCCAACACUAUCACUCUGAGCAUGGGGGCCCCCCAGGGCUGUGUGCUCAGUCCACUGUUGUUCACUCUGCUGACCCAUGACUCUGCUACAACACACAGCUUGAACCACAUCAUCAAGUUCACCGAUGACACGACCAUGGUGGGUCUCAUCAGCAAGAACAAUGAGUCAGCUUACAGAGAGGAGGAGCAGCGGCUAACAGACUGGUGCAGAGCCAACAACCUGUAUCUGAAUGUGAACAAAACAAAAGAGAUGGUUGUUGACUUCAGGAGGGCAUGGAGCGAGCACUACCCGCUAAACAUCGACGGCUCCUCGGUAGAGAUCGUUAAGAGCACCAAAUUUCUUGACGUUCACUUGGCGGAGAAUCUCACCUGUUCCCUCAACACCAGCUCGAUAGCAAAGAAAGCCCAGCAGCAUCUCUACUUUCUGUGAAGGCUGAGGAAAGUCUAUCUCCCAUCCCCCAUCCUCAUCACAUUCCACAGGGGUUGUAUUGAGAGCAUCCUGAGUAGCUGCAUCACUGCCUGGUUCGGAAAUUGCACCAUCUCGGAUCGCAAGACCCUGCAGCGGAUAGUGAGGUCAGCUGAGAAGAUCAUCAGGGUGUCUGGUCCCACCAUUACAGACAUUUACACUACACACUGCAUCCACAAGGCAAACAGCAUUAUGAAGGACCCCAUGCACCCCUCAUACAAACUCUUCUCCCUCCUGCCGUCUGGGAAAAGGCACCGGAACAUUCGGGCUCUCACGACCAGACUAUGUAACAGUUUCUUCCCCCAAGCUAUCAGACUCCUCAAUACCCAGAGCCUGGACUGACACCAACUUACUGCCCUGUAUUGUGCCUAUUGUCUUGUUUAUUAUUUAUUGUAAUGCCUGCACUGUUUUGUUCACUUUAUGCAGUCCUGGGUAGGUCUGUAGUCUAGUUUUUUUCUGUGUUGUUUUCACGUAGUUCAGUGUAGUUUUUGCACUGUUUCAUGUAGCACCAUGGUCCUGAAAAACAUUGUCUCGUUUUUACUAUGCACUGUACCAGCAGUUAUGGUCGAAAUGACAAUAAAAAGUGACGACUUGAAUUGA